AGAAUCCUAGGAGGUAAUAGUAUUUCACCUCCACUCUGUAGAAGAGGGAACUGGCACGGAGAGGCAGUGGACCCUCUCCUCCUGCAGAAGGGGGAUUUGAUUACUUUCAGAGGGAAAACGAGGGCUCGGACUCAGCAACGGAGAAGACCCAUGGGCAGAGGAUGUCACUGAGCGGCGGUAGCCACUGACGUAGGAGAGACCAACCCUCCAGCCCCGCCCCGAAUCAGGCAAGCCAAUUCAGCUCCCCGCGUCGUCAUGGCAACACUCCGCACAUGCGCCUCUUACACCCGGACCUGGCCUGGUGGCUCUCAUCAAAGCCAAGAGCGUUCUGCCAUCUCCCACCCCGUGCCGGUGCCCAGCCAUGGCCAGACCACCCGCCCCUGGCUCAGUGAUUGUCCCCGACUGGCACGAAAGCGCCGAGGGCAAGGAGUGCCUGACCUGCCUCCUGCGCAAGAACCGCCGGCGGGUGUUUGGGCUGCUCGAGCGACCAGUGCUGCCCCCAGCCGUGGCCAUUGACACGGCCAGCUACAAGAUCUUCGUGUCCGGGAAGAGUGGUGUGGGCAAGACGGCGCUGGUGGCCAAGCUCGCUGGCCUGGAGGUGCCCGUGGUACACCAUGAGACCACUGGCAUCCAGACCACCGUGGUAUUUUGGCCUGCCAAGCUGCAGGUCAGUGAGCGUGUCGUCAUGUUCCGCUUUGAGUUCUGGGACUGCGGGGAGUCUGCGCUCAAAAAGUUCGACCACAUGCUGCCGGCUUGCCAGGAGAAGACGGACGCUUUCCUCUUCCUCUUCUCUUUCACCGACCGUGCCUCCUUCGAAGACCUCCCUGGACAGCUGACCCGCAUAGCAGGCGAGGCCCCUGGUGUCGUCAGGAUGGUCGUUGGCUCCAAGUUUGACCAGUACAUGCACACGGACGUGCCUGAGCGUGACCUCACAGCCUUCCGGCAGGCCUGGGAACUGCCCCUCCUGCGGGUGAAGAGUGUGCCAGGGCGGCGGCUGGCAGAUGGGCGCACGCUGGAUGGGCGGGCUGGGCUGGCUGACGUUGCCCAUGUGCUCAAUGGCCUGGCGGAGCAGCUGUGGCACCAGGACCAGGUGGCAGCUGGCCUGAUUCCCAACCCUACAGAGAAUGCCCCCGGCUGACAUGAGUGGGCACCUGUGGUCCUUACUCCUGACUCUCAGGUGACCCAGAGCAGGGGAUGGGACCCAGGACCUAGGGCUUGGUCAGGAACCUUGAUCUCAUCAUGAGGACUGGUCAGGGAGGACGGUGGCCUGUGAAGACUCUGCCCCAGCAGCACUUUCCUUGCAGAAUUCAUAGCAUGAGGUGCGGGCACAAGGCUUUGUGGGGCAGUGGUUUGAGGUCCUCUGGCCUUCUCCCUUGGCCCUGGGGGCCCAGGCUCUGGAAACUGAAGAACUGCAUGGGCAGGGCCCCAGGACUCCAGCAUCUCCCCAACCUCCUGCUGUCCCUCUCCUUCUGCAGCACAUAGGGAAGAUAAUAUGACUGGGGAGAGAGGGGGUCUCAGCUGGACCCUGGACCUCUGUGACUUCAAUCAAGAGCCCGUAUUACAGAGUGGGGCAAAAGUGGAAAUGAAGGUGGCUUUGGGGUCUUGGCUCCGUGCAUUCACUCAGAGACCCAGGCUCUGAGAUCUUCAACAUAUGGCUUCCCAGUUUGCCCUGGGGCAUCACCAUCCAGUGAGCAGACCACUCCCGUUGACCUUACCCCACCACAGCAGCAGCCAAUUGUGGGAGUGGCCCCGGUGAAGGCGGCCUCUGGGCCUGAACAUGAGCCUCCAGCUACAGGUCCCUGUGUUGUGAGCAGCAGCUACCUCACACCCCAGCCAGUUACCUCUGGGCUGGCCAGGGGCACAUGGUUGGUAUCAGGGGAAGGUGGGUUGAGGACAGAGCAUAUGGGCUGACUCGAUGGCUUGGGCCAGCCCCCUUGCACCCAAUAGCACUGUGGCCAGCUCUGCCCUUUGCCCAGAGACGUACAGAAUCCAGACCCUCCCUGGAGAUGCCUUCACUUUCAAAGUCUUCAUCUUCCAGCCCUGCAAGCUCUCCGCAGCGCCUUCCCCUGGGAUUGCCACGUCUCCUGUGCCAGCAGGAACAGCACAGCCUGGCGACCGCCCCUCCAGCCUACCUUGCCCAGGGCAACCACGCCCCCCAGCAGGGGAGGGAACCUCACUCUCUUCUAUUGGAAGCUGCUGGCUGUGCGUCAUCAGGGCUUCAUCAUCACCUCCGAGGUAGCCUCAGCGUCGGACAGACCAGGGUUCAAGUUCAGGCUCUGCCGCCGACGGGCUGCACAUGGGAAAUAUUACAGAAUAGGAUAUUUAAUCGGAUCGUUACGAAGAUUCAGUGUCAAGCACUUGCACAUCGUACGUGCUCCGUGAGUCAGUAUCACCACCACCACCACUGUUAUCUCUUGGCAACAGACUGGAGGAAGCGGGGAGCAUGUCCCUCAGCCUUGCUCCAGGCCCCCUUUUCCUAGCCCUGCCUCUCACAGGGUCCUGGUGUCAAGGGGCUCUAAUUAAACCUCUGUCUCUGGA
Molecule: RNA transcript, 2538 nt
Organism: Eptesicus fuscus (big brown bat)
Lineage: Eukaryota; Metazoa; Chordata; Mammalia; Chiroptera; Vespertilionidae
Gene: CPLANE2
Gene name: ciliogenesis and planar polarity effector complex subunit 2
Exons: 9
Source: RefSeq, a predicted model, not a curated record